AGAAGACCUCCGGUAGAUCAGGGCUGGAGCAAAACGCAGGUUGUAAAAAAGCGGGAUGACGUGUGAAGGUCAUCCCGC
RNAcentral lists this small RNA (78 nucleotides) under Pseudomonas kuykendallii. Its description in RNAcentral is "Pseudomonas sRNA P31". It matches the Rfam family "Pseudomonas sRNA P31". RNAcentral also lists the same sequence under 1 other name. The record is from Rfam by way of RNAcentral. Lineage: Bacteria; Pseudomonadati; Pseudomonadota; Gammaproteobacteria; Pseudomonadales; Pseudomonadaceae.